AUUGAACGCUGGCGGCAGGCCUAACACAUGCAAGUCGAACGAGAGGCGGACGGGUGAGUAAUGUCUGGGGAACUGCCCGAUGGAGGGGGAUAACUACAGGAAACGGUAGCUAAUACCGCGUACUAUAGGAUGUGCCCAGAUGGGAGUAGCUUGUAGGUGGGGUAAUGGCGCACCUAGGCGACGAUCCCUAGCUGGGCUGUGAGGGUGAGCAGCCACACUGGAACGUAGACACGGUCCAGACGCCUACGGGAGGCAGCAGUGGGGAAUAUUGCACAAUGGGCGCAAGCCUGAUGGAGCCAUGCCGCGUGUAUGAAGAAGGCCUUCGGGUUGUAAAGUACUUUCAGCGGGGAGGCGUUACCCGCAGAAGAAGCACCGGCUAACUCCGUGCCAGCAGCCGCGGUAAUAC
Molecule: ribosomal RNA, 406 nt
Filed under: uncultured bacterium
Lineage: Bacteria
Description: partial 16S ribosomal RNA
Rfam family: Bacterial small subunit ribosomal RNA
Source: RNAcentral